AAUAGCUUUAUUGUUUAAUUGUAACUAAUCGCUGCUAAGGCUGCUUGGCAUCCUUUCAUUUUGCAUUAGACAUUAGAUUUUUACGAGCAAUGUCGAUAUAUUUUAGUGUAUGUUUCCAAUUUUGAGCUAGUAUCGAUUCGAAGCGUAUCAUAUUUCACAGCAAUGCAUAUUUUUUGUUACCAAUCUUAAAAACAAUCUAAGUAACAUUUCGCAAUAAAUCGUAUUAGAUGGAUACACGUAACAAAUGUUAGAUGUGUAGGUUUGAAUUGAUGUGGUAAAGGUUUGUUUGAUUGCGUUCGAAACCGAUCUCAGAUGAGAAGCGAUUUAUCACGAGGUCACGUGGUCUUAACUCGAAUGAGAUCCAUUUCCACGAGGUUUAAGAAUCGUGUUCAUAGCUUGGGUGUUUGUUGCUGCUAGAUAGUUAUUACUUUUCAAAAAUAAAUUUAUUUA
This is a long non-coding RNA of Melitaea cinxia (Glanville fritillary), 450 nucleotides long. RefSeq lists it as uncharacterized. The record is from RefSeq and is a predicted model, not a curated record. NCBI's taxonomy places the organism in Eukaryota, Metazoa, Arthropoda, Insecta, Lepidoptera, Nymphalidae. The transcript is spliced from 2 exons.